RNAcentral lists this non-coding RNA (1252 nucleotides) under Pongo abelii (Sumatran orangutan). The record is from RNAcentral. Lineage: Eukaryota; Metazoa; Chordata; Mammalia; Primates; Hominidae.
UGUAGGUGCACAAAAGACAAGGGUUUAUUGUAGGGCGAGAACUACCGCGUGGAUAAGGCCGUCUGGGAAGGAGUGACGUCGGAGUAGAGCCGAGAGGAGAGGGAGCGAGUCGGGGAGUGCCUGGCACGUUGAAGAGCCACAAAGAGGAAGGAGGGCGCAAGGACAGAGACCGAUGAGAAAGGCAGGACCACCACGCAGCACACUAAGGACUUGCGUUUACUCCGAGUGAGAUGCGGUGCUGAGCAUCGGCUGCGUAGACUGAGGCGCGCCGGCCGUUGCCCCUCAAGUCCCCGAACCUGUGCUCAGCCCGGCUGCCCCGCGGCUCCCGCGGCCACACGAUUCCCCAUCCCGCACGCCCACUCGCCUCGUGCGGGCCGUAGACCACCGCCAGCGCCUUGGUGUUGCCCUGCUCGAUGUAGGCCGAGCCGUCAGCCUGCGCGAACACGCCCAUCCGCGCCUGGAUCUUGCGCAGCUCCCCGGCGCGCCGCCCGUCCACCCGGUAGCCCUGGUCCGACAAGAGCUCCAGCCCCGCCAUGCUGCCCGGCCGUCAGCUCCGCUCUCUGCCUACUUCUCUGAGCCGCGGGAGAACUACAGCUCCCGGCGGCUCCGACCUUCCCGAAUCUACGGUUUCCGGCGGCCGGCCAUCACUUCCGGUUCCGGGGAACUACAGCUCUCCGCGGCCCCGACCUCCCUGGAUCUACGGUUUCCGGCGGUCAGCUGUCACUUCCGGUCCCGGGGAACUGGAGUUCACCGCGGUCCGAACCUCCCCGGAUCUACGGUUUCCGGCGGUCCGGCUCCGCUUCUGUCUCCGGGGAACUGCGGCGGCGCCGUCGGGGAAGCAGCAGCUGGGCCCGCAGCCGUUCCCGGAGCUGUGCCACGGGUGCCAGGAGGUGGGCGCCCGCCGAAGGAGGAAUUCCCCAGUCACGCCCUCGUGACCAGUGGUGCCUGCAUUCAGCCCUUCCCCGCGCCCCAAGCGUGAAAGUGGAAAGAUCAAUCCAGUGGGUUGCGACACUGACAGGAGAAGGCAUUGAGCGGUCCUAGGAAAGUGACCAGGCUGGUGUCCCAGGAUGGUCCACACCUGGCACCUCUCCAGUCCUCUCAUGCCCUCCUUUUACACCGAGCUUCCACACUGCAGUCAGGUGGGCCUCCCUUUUCCCUUUGAGGAUGCAGAUUUCCUCAUCCUUUGCAGAGAGGGGUUGUAUGUCUUGCCACUUAACCUCAGCGGCUUCAAAGAAUAACAAUCAUUCUAUUA